GGGGGGGGGGGGGGGGGGGGGGGGGGGGGGGAGGGGGGGCGGAGGGGCGCGGGUGGUGGGGGGUGUGCGGGGGGCGGACGGGUGAGUGGCACGGGGGUAACGUGCGCUUGCCGGUGGGAUGACGGGGGGAGACUGGGGCGACUACCGGGUAGGAGCGCCUGCGGCAUGGUGGGGGUUGGAAGGUUUCGGCGGGUGGGGAUGGCCUCGCGGCUUAUCAGCUUGUUGGUGGGGUAGUGGCUUACCAAGGCUUUGACGGGUAGCCGGCCUGAGAGGGUGACCGGCCACAUUGGGACUGAGAUACGGCCCAGACUCCUACGGGAGGCAGCAGUGGGGAAUAUUGCACAAUGGGCGGAAGCCUGAUGCAGCAACGCCGCGUGCGGGAUGACGGCCUUCGGGUUGUAAACCGCUUUCGCCUGUGACGAAGCGUGAGUGACGGUAAUGGGUAAAGAAGCACCGGCUAACUACGUG
Molecule: ribosomal RNA, 468 nt
Filed under: uncultured bacterium
Lineage: Bacteria
Description: partial 16S ribosomal RNA
Rfam family: Bacterial small subunit ribosomal RNA (bases 48-468)
Source: RNAcentral